CCUUUUGAGAGAUAAAAAUGUCACUCUAAAGUUUGCUGAGUGCGUUGACCCUUUCAUUCGAGUUAUUGAUGGGAUUGUAGGAGAGCGUGUCGCCAUAAGAGUGAGUACUUGCACACUUGUUAUGUAUUAAGUUUGUUGUGUCAAUGCCCAGGGCAGUGUAUUAGAACUGUUGAAUACCACUUAAUCAAUUUGGUUUUGUUUGAGCAGAUUGAUCUCGAAAGUUCAAAUGGGCACACCACCACUGGAUUAUUUGCUCACAACAAUCUAUCCGUAUCCGUGGGCUAUGCAGCGGCCGCAUUUGCUCUAGCAGUUCUAGAAGGCAGCACAAAGCCAGGGGUUUGGUUUCCAGAAGAGCCAGAGGGAAUAGCUAUUGAUGCAAGGAAGCUCUUGCUCCGACGGGCAUCUCGAGGAGUAACAAACUUCACAAUGAACAAGAAUUCCGGGAUGAUAGAAUGCUGAUAAUAUGGAAAUGAAUCCCCGGCUGAUAGAAUGCUGAUCAUAUGGAAAUUGGCGAUGGAAGUUAUAGCUUCAU
Long non-coding RNA from Triticum aestivum (bread wheat), 532 nucleotides. RefSeq lists it as uncharacterized. NCBI's taxonomy places the organism in Eukaryota, Viridiplantae, Streptophyta, Magnoliopsida, Poales, Poaceae. The record is from RefSeq and is a predicted model, not a curated record. The transcript is spliced from 4 exons.